This is a non-coding RNA of Kogia breviceps (pygmy sperm whale), 973 nucleotides long. The record is from RefSeq and is a predicted model, not a curated record. Lineage: Eukaryota; Metazoa; Chordata; Mammalia; Artiodactyla; Physeteridae.
AUGGAGACUCUGCUCAUCUUGAUCACUCUGAAACAAAGGCAGACAGAGGAGCUACCAUCUCAAAUGUAUCUGGCUAUUGUAUAGGAAGGAAAGGAGAAUAUAGGGUAGCAUGCAAUGGCUCUUAAAGCUUCUGCUCCCAAGGCUUUCACAUUUUGUUAGCCAAAGCAAGUCUCAUGGUGUGAUAUAUUUUUUUUUAAUGGCCACAAUAUUUUGCAGAUCCUCCAAUCAAGAAUUGAGCCUGUUUCUCCACCCCUUGACUCUGGGCUUAGCCAUGUGACUUACUUUAGCUGAUAGGACGUUAGCAAAUGUAACAUAAGCAGAGGCUUAAAAUAUGCUUGUGCAUUAGGGCUUGAUCUCUCCUAGUGCUUUUAGAACAGCCCAAGAUUGACCUAGAGGAUGACAGACCAUGUGGAGAGACCAUGAUGCUGUCCCAGCUAUUACAGCCAUCCCAGAUAUGUAAGAGAGGGAGAGAGACCCAAGAGGGAGAAGAGUUGGCUCUCAGUAGCUUUCCAUUCGGCUGAAAAAGGAACAGCUCUGGUUGCUACAACUAUGGUUGCUCCUUCUUGCCAUUUAUGGAUGGGGUGGCUGUUACUGCAGUCCACUAGUGCCCCCUAUUGUCCCCUUCAGGAAACUCACAGGGCAGCAUGAACGGCUAAACCUGGGCAUUCCUAUCACUUGUGCUAACAUUAGCCUGAUGAGGAAGAGGGCUGGAACCUGGGAGCCCGAAGCCCUUCUGCUUCUGCUGGAGGCUCAGAGAGCUCAACAUCCUCCAAGCACAUCACCUGCUGGAGGUCGGAUGCCAAGCCCAUACGUCUGAUGAGUGUGACCACUGAGGACUUCUGUUACUCAGCCUGGGGGAAGCUGAAGUGGUCUCUCCUCUGCACCCCACCAUGACUGCCUCCUUGGCAAGUAGAGAGCAGAUGUUUCUAACCCCAAGUCCAUCUUACUGCACCAAUCAGAAGCAAAAGAUACU